RNAcentral lists this ribosomal RNA (406 nucleotides) under uncultured bacterium. RNAcentral describes it as "partial 16S ribosomal RNA". It matches the Rfam family "Bacterial small subunit ribosomal RNA", at positions 30 to 526 of the family's 1533-position model. The record is from RNAcentral.
AUUGAACGCUGGCGGCAGGCCUAACACAUGCAAGUCGAGCGAGCGGCGGACGGGUGAGACAUGUCUGGGACACUGCCUGAUGGCGGGGGAUAACUACUGGAAACGGUAGCUAAUACCGCAUAACAUCAGAUGAGCCCAGAUGGGAUUAGCUAGUAGGUGGGGUAAUGGCUAACCAAGGCGACGAUCCCUAGCUGGUCUGAGAGGAUGACCAGCCACACUGGAACUGAGACACGGUCCAGACUCCUACGGUAGGCAGCAGUGGGGAAUAUUGCACAAUGGGCGAAAGCCUGAUGCAGCCAUGCCGCGUGUGUGAAGAAGGCCUUCGGGUUGUAAAGCACUUUCAGCGAGGAGGCGUUACUCGCAGAAGAAGCACCGGCUAACUCCGUGCCAGCAGCCGCGGUAAUUC